GAGGCGUACGUUGAAGUGAUGGAUUAAUAUCAAUCAGCGGGCAGAAACUUACGGAGAAUCGAGGAGAAAGCCCUGCGCUUUAGCGCGGGGAGGGUGUCGAUCUUCAAGCGUCC
This 113-nucleotide unclassified non-coding RNA is filed under the name Halorubrum ezzemoulense. RNAcentral's name for it is "HgcC family RNA". Lineage: Archaea; Methanobacteriati; Methanobacteriota; Halobacteria; Halobacteriales; Haloferacaceae. The record is from RNAcentral.